GUAAAGUAGGGAUUUUCUCAUGUUUGAUUUGAAAUCAAAUAGAUUGCAUUAUGCAAGCUUUAUU
This 64-nucleotide transfer RNA is filed under the name Neobenedenia melleni. RNAcentral describes it as "tRNA-Ser". Lineage: Eukaryota; Metazoa; Platyhelminthes; Monogenea; Capsalidea; Capsalidae. The record is from RNAcentral.